GGUCCGAUAAUGCAGUGGUUAGCAUGCAUUCCCGGAAAGAGUAAGAUGCGGGUUCAACUCCCGCUCGAGGUUCA
This is a non-coding RNA of Parelaphostrongylus tenuis, 74 nucleotides long. NCBI's taxonomy places the organism in Eukaryota, Metazoa, Nematoda, Chromadorea, Rhabditida, Metastrongylidae. The record is from the annotation of a GenBank genome assembly.